AAACAAUGUCAGCAGUGGCCAAAAGAUCAUCCACGUUACAAGCUGCACGGGUACUGUUGUGACUGUGGCUGUGGUAGCAAGCAUUGGCACUCUACUUCUUGUUUUGGCUGUUUUUCUUGGUGUAAAGCAUUUCAAUAAGAAAACUGACCCCAUGACUGUCAAUAAAGAUCAUAGUGAAGACAAUAUCAUCUACUCAGAUGUUCGAGUGAAACAGCACGCAAGAAAAACACCAUCCGAUUAACAUGCAAAUGGAUUUUUUCAUCAAAUAUUCUUUGUGACCUUGCCUCAACAUUAUGCUCUUUCUGUUUAAAAGUAAGACUGCCUUUAUUGUUCUUUGUUUUCAGUGAUAAUCUUUGUCCCAUUUCUUUCAACCUACUGACCCAAAUCAUAAACUUUAAUUCUGUUAAAAUUUUAACCGAAAUCUAAACCUGUCUGAUCUUGGAGAGUCAAUAAAGUUUACUGGUCAGUAAUACUUCCACACAUGGGCUCAAAUUGCUGAUUUGCUUGUGAUUUUGGGUAUGGGUGCUCACAGCAGAUGUGAGUUGUGGUUCUUGUUUUAGGUCAGUAAUCUUCACUGUGUGGAUUGUCACGACUUUUAGAACCACAAACUACAUGGUUCACCUUUUGUGGCCUUGCUGUUUCGCUGAUUUUUUUGUGCAAUUUUCCAUGUAUUUUUUUU
This is a long non-coding RNA of Oreochromis aureus, 679 nucleotides long. Lineage: Eukaryota; Metazoa; Chordata; Actinopteri; Cichliformes; Cichlidae. The record is from Ensembl.